AUUGAACGCUAGCGGCAGGCCUAACACAUGCAAGUCGGACGGUAGCACAGAGAGCUUGCUCUCGGGUGACGAGUGGCGGACGGGGGAGUAAUGUCUGGGAAACUGCCCGAUGGAGGGGGAUAACUACUGGAAACGGUAGCUAAUACCGCAUAACGUCUUCGGACCAAAGUGGGGGGCCUUCGGGCCUCACACCAUCGGAUGUGCCCAGAUGGGAUUAGCUAGUAGGUGGGGUAAUGGCUCACCUAGGCGACGAUCCCUAGCUGGUCUGAGAGGAUGACCAGCCACACUGGAACGGAGACACGGUCCAGACUCCUACGGGAGGCAGCAGUGGGGAAUAUUGCACAAUGGGCGCAAGCCUGAUGCAGCCAUGCCGCGUGUAUGAAGAAGGCCUUCGGGUUGUAAAGUACUUUCAGCGGGGAGGAAGGCGAUGAGGUUAAUAACCGCAUCGAUUGACGUUACCCGCAGAAGAAGCACCGGCUAACUCCGUGCCAGCAGCCGCGGUAA
This 504-nucleotide ribosomal RNA is filed under the name uncultured bacterium. RNAcentral's name for it is "partial 16S ribosomal RNA". It matches the Rfam family "Bacterial small subunit ribosomal RNA", at positions 29 to 523 of the family's 1533-position model. The record is from RNAcentral.